RNAcentral lists this ribosomal RNA (587 nucleotides) under uncultured bacterium. RNAcentral describes it as "bacterial SSU rRNA". It matches the Rfam family "Bacterial small subunit ribosomal RNA", at positions 338 to 916 of the family's 1533-position model. The record is from RNAcentral.
CCUACGGGAGGCAGCAGUGGGGAAUUUUGGACAAUGGGCGCAAGCCUGAUCCAGCAAUGCCGCGUGCAGGAUGAGGGCCUUCGGGUUGUAAACUGCUUUUGUACGGAACGAAACGGCGAGCUCUAAUAAAGUUCGCUAAUGACGGUACCGUAAGAAUAAGCACCGGCUAACUACGUGCCAGCAGCCGCGGUAAUACGUAGGGUGCAAGCGUUAAUCGGAAUUACUGGGCGUAAAGCGUGCGCAGGCGGUGAUGUAAGACAGAUGUGAAAUCCCCGGGCUCAACCUGGGACCUGCAUUUGUGACUGCAUCGCUAGAGUACGGUAGAGGGGGAUGGAAUUCCGCGUGUAGCAGUGAAAUGCGUAGAUAUGCGGAGGAACACCGAUGGCGAAGGCAAUCCCCUGGACCUGUACUGACGCUCAUGCACGAAAGCGUGGGGAGCAAACAGGAUUAGAUACCCUGGUAGUCCACGCCCUAAACGAUGUCAACUGGUUGUUGGGUCUUCACUGACUCAGUAACGAAGCUAAACGCGUGAAGUUGACCGCCUGGGGAGUACGGCCGCAAGGUUGAAACUCAAAUGAAAUUGACGG